This 406-nucleotide ribosomal RNA is filed under the name uncultured bacterium. RNAcentral describes it as "partial 16S ribosomal RNA". It matches the Rfam family "Bacterial small subunit ribosomal RNA", at positions 30 to 526 of the family's 1533-position model. The record is from RNAcentral.
AUUGAACGCUGGCGGCAGGCCUAACACAUGCAAGUCGAACGAGUGGCGGACGGGUGAGUAAUGUCUGGGAAACUGCCUGAUGGAGGGGGAUAACUACUGGAAACGGUAGCUAAUACCGCAUACCAUCGGAUGUGCCCAGAGGGGAUUAGCUAGUAGGUGGGGUAAAGGCUUACCAAGGCGACGAUCCGUAGCUGGUCUGCGAGGAUGACCAGCCACACUGGAACUGAGACACGGUCCAGACUCCUACGGGAGGCAGCAGUGGGGAAUAUUGGACAAUGGGCGAAAGCCUGAUCCAGCCAUGCCGCGUGUGUGAAGAAGGUCUUCGGAUUGUAAAGCACUUUCAGUUGGGAGGCGUUACCCACAGAAUAAGCACCGGCUAACUUCGUGCCAGCAGCCGCGGUAAUUC